RNAcentral lists this ribosomal RNA (207 nucleotides) under uncultured bacterium. RNAcentral's name for it is "partial 16S ribosomal RNA". It matches the Rfam family "Bacterial small subunit ribosomal RNA", at positions 568 to 774 of the family's 1533-position model. The record is from RNAcentral.
CUCGUAGGCGGCUUCGUAAGUCAGGGGUGAAAGAUCACGGCUCAACCGUGGGAGCGCCCUUGAAACUACGAAGCUUGAGGCCCGGAGAGGAAAGCGGAAUUCCUGGAGUAGCGGUGAAAUGCGUAGAUAUCAGGAGGAACACCGGUGGCGAAGGCGGCUUUCUGGACGGGUUCUGACGCUGAGGAGCGAAAGCUAGGGGAGCGAACA